GAUCUUCACUUACUUGUGGAAAGAUGUGGUUCUUCCACCAUUCACCUUGUGGUCUUCUUUCACGUGUUGGAUAUCUUCUUUCAUGCAAAGAAGAUGAGCCUUCAUGCACCUUUUGCUCCCUUCUAUGGCUCAUACACUUCCUUCUCUCAUUCAUUGGUUGAUAUUCUUCAUCUUCAUUCUCUUCAUUGUCCUUGUUGUAUCUUGCUGGAAUUGAAGUCUUUAUAGAGUUGGGCUCCUCUUCAAUGAUAUCUUCAUUUCCAUCUUCAUUUUGAGAAUGCUCUUCUUCAUCUUCUUCUUUGUUUGCUGAAAUUGAAGAUGUGUCCACAAACACACCACUACUCCUACUUGGACACAUCUCCCACUUUUCACUUGCACUCUUAUAUUCCAAGAACUCUACAUCACGACUUUUGAUGAUCUUUUUGGUGUCUAAACACAUGAGCCUAUAUGCCUUGGUGCCUUCACAAUAUCCAAGAAAUGCACAUCUUGUGCCCUUUGCAUGAAGUUUGCCUCUCAUACUAUCUGGAACUUUAGCAUAUGCAAUGCAUCCAAAAAUCCUCAUAUGAGAUAAACAAGGUUUCUUACCAGUCCAAGCUUCUUCGGGAGUCAUUCCUUCAAGUGCACUUGUGGGACACCUAUUUCUUGUAUAUACGGCAUUUACCACAGCUUCCGCCCAAUACUCAUAUCCAAGCUUUUGAGCAUGAAUCAUACUCCUUGCCAUCUCCACAAUGGUGCGAUUUGCUCUUUCAGCAACUCCAUUUUGUUGUGGGGUAUAGGGAGUGGAGGUUUGUCUUGCAAUGCCUUCAUGCUUCAAUAACUCAUCAAAGUCUUUGGACAAAUACUCACCUCCAUUGUCCGAUCGCAGCACCUUAAUCUUGUGCUCACAUUGCUUCUCCACAAGUGCUUUCCACUCCUUAAACUUAGCAAAACACUCACUUUUGGCCUUGAUGAUAUAAAUCCAUACCUUCCUUGAAAAGUCAUCAAUAAAUGUGACAAAAUAUCUUGCUCCACUCAUAGAUGCUGUUUUCAUGGGUCCACAAACAUCCGAAUGCACAAGCUCCAGCAAUUGAUUUGCUCUUGUUGCAAUUCCACUAGGAAAUGGUGUCCUAUGUUGUUUGCCUUGAAUGCAACCUUCACAAGAUAGAUUCAUAGUAGAAUGGCCAAGGUCUAAACCACUUACCAUGGAUUGAAGCUCCUUCAUGCUUUUGGCAUUCAAAUGUCCAAGUCUUUGAUGCCAAAUGCCCACCUUAUCUUCAUUUGAUGGAAAUUCAGCAAAAGCAGCAACCUCUACUCCAUUGAUGCGCUUGCAAUUGAUAAUAUAGAGAUUGCCAUCUCUAAUCCCUUUUGCUACUUCUUUGCCUUCCAUGGUUCUCACAAAACAUCCAUUCAUAUUGAAUUGCACUUUGCACCCAUGACUUACAAGUUUACUCACCGAAAGGAGGUUCUUCUUCAUCUUUGGCACAUGCAACACAUCCUUGAGUGUGAUCCUCUUGCUUAUGCCCUUGAGCACUACUUCCACUUCAAUGGUGCCCAUUCCAAUGGCUUGUACCAUACCAUUAUCACCUAGCCAAACCUUAGUUGCUGGAAUUGGUUGAUAAGUGUUAAAUGAACACUUGUAUGGAGUCAUGUGUUUGGUACAUCCAGAAUCCACGAUCCAUUUGCUCAUAUCAAGCAUGGAAGAAGUUUGUUUUGCCAUGAAUGCAAAGUCAUCACCUCCAUGGUCAUGAAAAGCAUUAUUGGCAUUCUCUCUUUGUCCUCUCUUUGCCUUGAAACAAUUCCUAGCAAAAUGCCCUGGUUUUCCACAAAUAUAACAAGUUUUGGGAAGAUUACGUUGAAUGGAAGUACUUGCCUUACUUGGUCUCGUGAAUAGUGCUGAUUGCUCUCCAAUAGACUCCUUUUGCUUUCUUUUGGUCACUUCAUGGGCUAGUCUUGCCGUGACAUAGUCCAAAGUAAGAUCUUUUCUUGAAAUUGACUCCAAUGCCACAAUGAGGGAGGAAUAGGAGUCCGGAAGGCUUGAGAGCAAUGUCAUCACAACAUCUUCUUCAGGUAAAGGCUUGUCAAUAACAGCAAGUUGGUUUGCAAGUGCUUUUACCUUAUUUACAUGAGCCAUGAGAUCUUCACCUUCUUCCAUCUUCACGGUGAAGAAUUUUUGCCUUGACCAUAGUACAUUGGAGAGAUUUCUACUCUCAUAGACGUUGUAAAGAGUCUUCCAUGCCUCUGCUGCCCCUUUGCAAGAAAUGACAUGAGCAAAGUUGCUCUCAUCUAUAUUGGUGGCAAUUAUGCCAAAAGCCUUCUUUUCUCGUCUUUUGAACUCCUUAUGCUCCUUGAUGCUUGCCUCUACCCCAGGUGCCUCUUCCUCCUCACAUAAAAUCUCCCAAAGAUCCAAUGACGCCAAAAGUAGCUCCAUUUUGGCCUUCCAGUGGUGAAAGUUGUCACCUUUGAACUUUUCAACCAUUCUCAAGCUAUCACCCUCAAAAGAUGCCAUCUCAAGCUACACGUAGGUCCAAAAAACUCUUGAUUUGGAGUUGUAAUGGAGAAGAUAUCACUACUCAAAGAUCGCUGAACCACAAACCCAGAAUUCGCUGUUUUGCAACUUUUUGUAAAUUAUGAGUCCAAAUCACGUCUAAAUGGUGGGGAAUGAAUUGUAAAGUAAUUCUAUGGCUCUCAUUAGUCUCCCUCACGUCACUCCACUCAAAAUGACUCACUAUCUCAUGAAACUUUCAAACACUAGUGUUACUUCAGCAAAGACACUAUCAAGGUCUUGCACAAAACUCAUGUACUCACAAAUCCAGGAGCAAUGACUUCAACAACACACUAGCAACACUCUACCAUAAGAUCCCAACCACCAAAGUAAGCAACAAAGAAAAUAAUGCAAGAACAACUUACUUGGUAAGAGAGUGUGGGCCCAUAACCUAUUGAAACAUAGAAAGCAAACUCCACACAAGCAAGUUAGGACCAGCAAGGUUGCACUUCACAAAUAGAAUGUGGUAUGAGAUGAUUCUUCCCAUGCCAACCCUUUUCUUAUAUACUAGUACCAAGGUACCAUGUGUUACAACCCAUAUGGGAUAUCUCUUAGGACCAGCCCUCUCCUUGUAUUCUAAGGCACUAUAGACCAGCAACUAACCUUGUAGGAUAUCCCUCAUUACUCAUAUACUCUAUUGACCAUUAGCAACAACUAAAUGAGUUCUUUCCUUCAAAAUAUGGGAUAUCUCUUAGGACCAGCCUUCUCCUUGUAUUCUAAGGCACUAUAGACCAGCAACUAACCUUGUAGGAUAUCCCUCAUUACUCAUAUACUCUAUUGACCAUUAGCAACAACUAAAUGAGUUCUUUCCUUCAACAAUGAUAAUAUAGAGAUUGCCAUUCCUAGUCCCUUUUGCUACUUCUUUGCCUUCCAUGGUUCUCACAAAACAUCCAUUCAUGUUAAAUUGCACUUUGUACCCAUGAGUUAUAAGUUUACUCACAGAAAAGAGGUUCUUCUUCAUCUUUGGCACAUGCAACACAUCCUUGAGAGUGAUUCUCUUGCUUAUGCCCUUCACCACCACCUCCACUACAAUGGUGCCUAUUCCAAUGGCUUGUACCAUACCAUUAUCACCUAACGAAACCUUGGUUGCUGGAAUUGGUUGAUAAGUGUUAAAUGAAUACUUGUAUGGAGUCAUGUGUUUGGUACAUCCGGAAUCCACUAUCAAUUUGCUCAUAUCAAACAUGGAAGGAGUUUGUUUUGCCAUGAAUGCAAAGUCUUCACCUCCAUGGUCAUGAAAAGCAUUGUUGGCAUCCUCUCUUUCUCCUCUCUUUGCCUUGAAACAAUUUCUAGCAAAAUAUCCUGAUUUUCCACAAAUGUAACAAGUUUUAGGAGGAUAACGUUGGAAAGGGGCACUUGCCUUACUUGGUCUUGUAAAUAGUGCUGAUUGCUCCCCAAUAGACUCCUUUUGCUUUCUUUUGGUCACUUCAUAUUGAAACAAAGAAAGCAAACUCCACACAAGCAAGUUAGGACCAGCAAGGUUGCACUUCACAAAUAGAAUGUGGUAUGAGAUAAUUCUUCCCAUGCCAACCCUUUUCUUAUAUACUAGUACCAAGGUACCAUGUGUUACAACCCAUAUGGGAUAUCUCUUAGGACCAGCCCUCUCCUUGUAUUCUAAGGCACUAUAAGCCAGCAACUAACCUUGUAGGAUAUCCCUCAUUACUCAUAUACUCUAUUGACCAUUAGCAACAACUAAAUGAGUUCUUUCCUUCAACACUCCCACUUUGCUACUGGUCAAUUAGCUAUCAAUCCUAAUGCCUUACUCAAUAUGUUGUGUCUCUCUUUCACCAAGGCUUUUGUUAGCAAAUCAGCCAACAUGUCUUUGGUUUCACAAUACAUCAUAUCAAUAACUCCCAUCUCUAUCUUCUCUCUUAUAAAGUGGUGUUGAAUAUCAAUGUGCUUGGUUCUUGCAUGAUGCUUUGGAUUCUUUGCAAAAGCCAAACAUCCUUGAUUGUCACAUCUCAACGGAGUGGCUUCCAAUUGCACAAGUCCAAUGUCUUCCAACAACAACCUCAAUCAAAUUGCCUCCAUUGCUCCAUGACUUGCUGCCAUAUACUCCGCCUCCAUUGUGGACCUUGCAAUGGUUGGUUGUCUCUUACAAUUCCAAGAUAUGGCUCCCAUUCCAACAAAGAAUACAUAGCCCUUUGUUGAUCUUCUAUCAUUUGUAUCUCCAGCCCAAUCCGCAUCACAAUAUCCAUGUAAUGCAAUGUUAUUUCCUUCAAGACAUAGUUUUUGGUUCAAAGAGCCUUUCAAGUACCUCAUGAUUCUUUUGAUGGUUGCCCAAUGCAUAGGACCUGGUUUUGCCAUGUGUUGACUUACAACACUUACUGCAAAUGCAAGAUCCAUCCUUGUACCCACCAUUGCAUACAUGAGUGAGCCUACUGCUGUCUUGUAUGGUAUGCCUUGCAUUUGAUGCUCCACUUCAGCAUAUUCCUCAUCCGUGAGCUUCAUCAACUUCAAGUUGGCUUCCAAAGGAGUUCCAAUGGGCUUGCAAUCUUGCAUAUUGAAUCGUUUCAAUACUUCUUCAAUGUACUUGCUUUGACUCAAUGUGAUGGUCUUUGAUACUCUAUUCCUUGUAAAUUCCACACCCAAACAAUAAUGAAGCUCUCCCAAAUCACUCAUUUCAAACUCUUUCUCCAAUUUCUUCUUCAACCAAUCUAAUUUUACCAUGGUGUUGCUUAAGAUGAUUAAAUCAUCUACAUAGAGGAUCACAACCAGCAAGAAGUCCUUGGCUUGCAACACAUACAAAGAAUGGUCAGCUUCACUUCUUAUAAAACCUUCCUUCACAAAGAAUGAGUCAAUGCGUUGAUACCAUGCUCUUGGUGAUUGCUUGAGUCCAUACAAUGACUUCUUCAACUUGCAUACAAGGUUGGGUUUGUCUCGAUCAAUAAAUCCUUGAGGUUGCUCCAUGUAGAUGUCUUCUUCCAAUUCUCCAUUCAAGAAGGCUGUCUUGACGUCCAUUUGAUGCAUCUCCAAGUCUAUUGAUGCUCCAAUUGCUACUAUCGUUCUAAUGGUAGUGAAUUUGGCCACUGGAGCAAAUGUCUCAUUAAAAUCCACUCCAGCAACUUGUGAGUAGCCUUUGGCAACCAAUCUUGCUUUGUACCUCACAACAUUGCCCAUAGCAUCUCUCUUGGUUCUAAACACCCACUUACAUCCAAUUGCUGAACGAUUUGGUGGAAGUGGAGUCAACUCCCAUGUCUUGUUGUCCAUAAGAGAUUUGUACUCUUCUUGCAUAGCAAUCUCCCACUUCAUUGCAUCACCACACCUCAUUGCAUCACACAAAGUCAAUGGAUCAUCAAGAAGAGCAACAUUGGCCUGAUCUUCACUUACUUGUGGAAAGAUGUGGUUCUUCCACCAUUCACCUUGUGGUCUUCUUUCACGUGUUGGAUAUCUUCUUUCAUGCAAAGAAGAUGAGUCUUCAUGCACCUCUUGCUGCCUUCUAUGGCUCAUACACUUCCUUCUCUCAUUCAUUGGUUGAUAUUCUUCAUCUUCAUUCUCUUCAUUGUCCUUGUUGUAUCUUGCUGGAAUUGAAGUCUUUAUAGAGUUGGGCUCUUCUUCAAUGAUAUCUUCAUUUCCAUCUUCACUUUGAGAAUGCUCUUCUUCAUCUUCUUCUUUGUUUGCUGAAAUUGAAGAUGUGUCCACAAACACACCACUACUCCCACUUGGACACAUCUCCCACUUUUCACUUGCA
This 6206-nucleotide long non-coding RNA is filed under the name Physcomitrium patens. Its description in RNAcentral is "long non-coding RNA (PPAT_LNC006226)". The record is from RNAcentral. Lineage: Eukaryota; Viridiplantae; Streptophyta; Bryopsida; Funariales; Funariaceae.